AUGUUGAAAAAAACAACUAUAUUAAAAUUGGAAUGAUACAGUGAAGAUUGGCAAGGAUAACAUGCAAAUUUGUGAGGUAUUCCAUAUUUUA
This 91-nucleotide small nuclear RNA is filed under the name Sciurus vulgaris (Eurasian red squirrel). The record is from RNAcentral. Lineage: Eukaryota; Metazoa; Chordata; Mammalia; Rodentia; Sciuridae.